This is an unclassified non-coding RNA of Macaca fascicularis (crab-eating macaque), 148 nucleotides long. It matches the Rfam family "Metazoan signal recognition particle RNA". Rfam says of the family: The signal recognition particle (SRP) is a universally conserved ribonucleoprotein. It is involved in the co-translational targeting of proteins to membranes. NCBI's taxonomy places the organism in Eukaryota, Metazoa, Chordata, Mammalia, Primates, Cercopithecidae. The record is from Ensembl.
GCCAGGCGUGGUGGCGCAUGCCUGUAGUCCCAGUCACUCAGGAGGCUGAGGCAGGAGGAUCACUUGAGCCUGGGAGGUUGAGGCUGCAGGGAGCUGUGAUUGCAUCACUGCACCCCAGCCUGGGCAACAGAGUGAGACUCUGUCUUGA